Long non-coding RNA from Camelina sativa (false flax), 1206 nucleotides. RefSeq lists it as uncharacterized. The record is from RefSeq and is a predicted model, not a curated record. Lineage: Eukaryota; Viridiplantae; Streptophyta; Magnoliopsida; Brassicales; Brassicaceae.
UACAACAAAAACAAAUUAUGGGCUCUCUCUAUCUCUAUCUCAACCUCAUAGACUCAUAGUACUGUUGUACCUUUCUCUGUUCUCCUCUCUCGUUUACAGAGGUUUGCAAAGACUAAAGAGUGAAGAGAGGUCCCGAGAUCAGCAAAGGAGUGAAGGAAACGGAGGCAUUGUUGACGGAGAGAUCAGCUGCGCUGAGAACGAUGAAACGAGUAUCGGCAACUAUGUCGAGCUACAUGGCAACAGUUCCGGCGAAGGUGCAGGCGAUGAGAUCGGGAUUGAGGCGGAGAUCGUAGCGCUUGGGGACGGCGAACUUUGGUAGACGAGGUUUACCUUUGAACUGAUCCAUUUUCGCUCAUGUGAUUACUUGUAGAUUGCACCAUAGCUUCAAGUUCUUAGUGAUUUGUUACCAUCAUAGCUUCAAGUUCUCAAUAAACAGAGUCUCUGGUUGACCAAAUCAAACACAUCACAAUCAUGAAUCACACUUAUUGAUACAUAUUCAUUCUCACACAUAUCUGAAUCUUUAUUUUCCUGUAGCAGCAACAUGUCUCUGUCACUAAUUGAGUGAAUUACAUAGAUCAGUUUGUAUUUGUGGUUUUAAUUUAAAGCUGGAUUCAUCUUAUUAUGAACUUCAGGCUUCAGCAAGUCUUUCGACAUGUGGGCCUUGGAGCUGUUGUUGGAGCUGUAUCUCGUAACCUUCAUGAGCUUCAAAAUAAUAAGGAAGAUGGGAGAUAUCACUUCAUGUCUCUGUUGCUGAAUUUGGUUUACACAUUUCUUUAUAUGGUCAAUACAUAUAUCAUUGUCCCUACAGCAGAUGACUAUUCCAUGAGCCUCGGUGCAGCAGCAACGGUGUGCGGUGUUGUAAUUGGUGCUAUGGCAGUGAACCGGAGAUAUAUAAGUGACGCUUAAGUAUAAAAACUAACAUUUACACAAUCUUUUUUAAUAUAUAUAGGCUCAUCCAACUAAAACACAUUUGCGUGACAUCACCACCGCUAGCUUACUGUGAGGUUUUUAAUAAUGGAUCGUAUUGCUCAAGAAAGUGAAGAGAUACAAGCAAGAAGAAACAGAAAACCAACCCCUAUACGUAUUUUUAUUACUGUUUAAAUACGUAUUGUAUAUGGUAUUAACAAAAGACAACCAUAAUUGUUAAGAAAAAAUAGUUUGUGAUAUGAUACCAACCCCUAUACGUAUGAAAAUUAUUUUUCUAAU